RNAcentral lists this ribosomal RNA (507 nucleotides) under uncultured bacterium. Its description in RNAcentral is "bacterial SSU rRNA". It matches the Rfam family "Bacterial small subunit ribosomal RNA", at positions 28 to 527 of the family's 1533-position model. The record is from RNAcentral.
GAUGAACGCUAGCGGGAGGCUUAACACAUGCAAGUCGAGGGGCAGCAUAGGGUAGCAAUACUCUGAUGGCGACCGGCAAACGGGUGAGUAACGCGUAUGCAACCUACCCUGUACAGGGGGAUAACCCGGAGAAAUUCGGACUAAUAUCCCGUAAUAAUAUCCGGAGGCAUCUUUGGAUAUUUAAAGUUCCGACGGUACGGGAUGGGCAUGCGUAACAUUAACUGGUUGGUAAGGUAACGGCUUACCAAGGCUAUGAUGUUUAGGGGUCCUGAGAGGGUGGUCCCCCACACUGGUACUGAGACACGGACCAGACUCCUACGGGAGGCAGCAGUGAGGAAUAUUGGUCAAUGGGCGCAAGCCUGAACCAGCCAUCCCGCGUGCAGGAAGACGGCCCUAUGGGUUGUAAACUGCUUUUCCAGGGAGAGAAACUUACGCACGUGUUGCGUGACUGACGGUACCCUGGGAAUAAGCAUCGGCUAACUCCGUGCCAGCAGCCGCCGGUAAUCA